RNAcentral lists this unclassified non-coding RNA (196 nucleotides) under fungal sp. RNAcentral's name for it is "partial internal transcribed spacer region". The stretch from base 1 to 46 matches the Rfam family "Eukaryotic small subunit ribosomal RNA", at positions 1786 to 1831 of the family's 1831-position model. The record is from RNAcentral. Lineage: Eukaryota; Fungi.
AAGUCGUAACAAGGUUUCCGUAGGUGAACCUGCGGAAGGAUCAUUAACGAAUCGAAACUCUGUGGAGCUUGGUGGGGUUAUAACGCCCUUGGGUGUAUAACACCCCCCUUGCCCUAACAUUUACGCUUGUUGUGUAUGACUGAGUUAAUUAAUAUUAUGGCUUUGACAACUUUUAACAAUGGAUCUCUUGGCUCUU